Mytilus californianus (California mussel) is the source of this 570-nucleotide long non-coding RNA. RefSeq lists it as uncharacterized. Lineage: Eukaryota; Metazoa; Mollusca; Bivalvia; Mytilida; Mytilidae. The transcript has 2 exons. The record is from RefSeq and is a predicted model, not a curated record.
ACAAUGCAGUUCAAAAGUCAAAAUGUGGAUAAGCUGCGGUACAAGGUCCUACUUUUGCAGAUUUUCAUAUUUUGCAUGAAUGAAUUUGAAGUUUAUAUCAUGGAGGGCAGAGAAAGAAAAGAAACACUUCAGUUUUCCUGCUUCUGAAGGAUAAAUGUAAAACAUCUUGUUUGAAGGAUUGGAAUUCAUCACUGAGAAUAGAAGGAGAAAACACAGAAACAAGACCAAAAUAAAUUCAAAGACAAAAGUCAGAUCAGUUAUUAUUUUCAUCACUCAGCCAAUGAAUUGCAGUUCUAUUAAAUAUCUAAAGAUAUUAAAACCACAAUAAUGACAAUGUUCUGUGCUGAAUGGCAAAAAAGUGGACUAUACAUUACGAUCACACAAUGCUGGAUGAUAAGAAACUAUUAAUUUUUUGGUUGGAGGGAUAUCCUGAAAAAAAAAUAGAUUUAAGUAAAAAGCUACUAGUAUGUUAAGCCUAUUAAUAGAGUUUUCAUUGAUUUCAAAUGGGAAAAAAUUGUGUUUCAAAAAAGUGUUCUAGAAUUCAUAAAUAAACAUAUAUUGAUACUUACA